Molecule: ribosomal RNA, 118 nt
Filed under: uncultured bacterium
Lineage: Bacteria
Description: partial 16S ribosomal RNA
Rfam family: Bacterial small subunit ribosomal RNA
Source: RNAcentral
CGUUCCCGGGCCUUGUACACACCGCCCGUCACACCACGAAAGUCGGUCAACACCCGAAGCCGGUGGCCUUAAUCCGCAAGGAAGGGAGCCGUCGAAGGUGGGGUCGGUGAUUGGGGUG